This is a long non-coding RNA of Mirounga angustirostris (Northern elephant seal), 588 nucleotides long. RefSeq lists it as uncharacterized. The transcript is spliced from 3 exons. NCBI's taxonomy places the organism in Eukaryota, Metazoa, Chordata, Mammalia, Carnivora, Phocidae. The record is from RefSeq and is a predicted model, not a curated record.
AGGAGGGAGAGAAUCUGGGGCACUGCUCAUGAGGUCGUGCCCCCUGAAGGAUUUGGGGAAGGCUAUGACAUCUCUGAUGCUUGGUGCUCCAGUGACAAGGCAUAUCAGUCUGUCUAACCCUGGAAAUAAAAUACAAAGGGGACAAUGGAGAUCAACCAAUCUACUCCAAAAAGCUGUUGUGAACAUCAAGUGAGACUCGGCAUGUGAGGUGCCAUAUCCAUGGCGGCUAUUCUGUGAAUAUUUUCCUGACUGCUCCUGCAGGGUGUGGUGAGGCUCUGAGCAGUGCCUGGCCCACAGCUGAUGGCCCGUAAAAGUUGGCUAUGAUUAGAGGGGCAGUACGGCCCUACAAGAAAUACCAAUGGACCUUUACCUGAGUGACUUUCCUAAUCAGAGCCAGAUCUAAUCUGUGUGAACAAUGCCAAUCCUCACAAUUAUCACUGUGUGAGCAGUGCUGAUGGAGGCUGGGAACUGAUGAAGAAAACUCUAGUUCUGAUACAGUGCAUUGUUUGUAAGUGCUGAAAGGUAUUUAUUAAUAGCAAACUCAUGUAGAGCAGCCCCAACAUUUUAUGAAAUUAAGUCAGUUUUAAA